Molecule: long non-coding RNA, 2251 nt
Organism: Homo sapiens (human)
Lineage: Eukaryota; Metazoa; Chordata; Mammalia; Primates; Hominidae
Gene: DIP2C-AS1
Product: DIP2C antisense RNA 1
Source: Ensembl
AACACAUCAAAACGGAAAAGGAAAUGUAAGCAGUGUUUGCCGUCCAAAGUUCACAUCAACAAUUCCUUAUUAGGAAGGCAAUUCUGAGCCUUUCCUCCUGCAUCUGGGAGCUGCCAGCAACCCAGUUCCAGGAGAGAAAAUAGCUUGACACCUCCUGCGGCCCAUGGAGUCCUCCCGUUGGGACAAGGACCCCCCAGGAGAGAGAAGACCCCAGCAGAGUCAACACUGGAGGGCCAGGGACCAUGGUGCCCGGGGCUGUGGACCACGCCAGCCCACAGCCACUGCAAGCCCCAGACCGGGGCUGUGGAUAACGCCAGCCCACGGCAGCCACACGCCCCAGACCAACACGAGAAGAACGCAGGCCGACAACAUCUUCAUCUAUGAAUCCUGGCUGAUCCACCAUGGAACCCAGAUGUCCUCAGUUCUGCCUCAGCCCCCACUUGUGAGAGGUCCGUGGCAUAACACAAACUCCCCCUGGGAUUCGUGGGCCUCACGGGGGAAGCUGAGGGUGUGUCCAUGCAGGACCCCGAGGCUACACAGCUCUGGCUGUUUCUCUUCCAAAGCCGGCACUGCCCUCUCUCCAUCUCUCCCGGUGCCAGGGCUCAGGCCCCAGCCCCCGUUUCUGCAGAAGCCCCUUUCCAUCCUAGCCCCUGCCACCCCUCCUGCUCUUGUCUCUCCCACACCUCCCAAACUCUCUCCUGGCCAGCUCUCGCCACACUCAGUCAAUGUCCACUGGGGGCCUCAGGGGCACCUCCACCUGCCCAGGUCUGGGACCACCGUCCUCCACGCAUAUCUACAGACCCUGUCCUCACCUGCAUCACACCAAUGAUGGCGUCACAGCGUGGGUUCCGGUCACCAGUCGGCCUCCCCCACCAACGUGGACUCCUUACAAGCAGAGCCACCAACGUGGACACGAUCCCAUCAGGAACCACCUACUUUUGCAUCCCCAGCACUGUGCUCAGGUCCCAGGGAGGCCCCAGCAAACUGUGGAACAACCAAACUCGUGACUGAAUGAACAAGUAUGUUAAGUCGUUAAGUAAAAAUAGCAGAAGACUUAGUAGAAUGUAUGAGUAACAAUUACAAUUAUAUGAAAAUCCGUAUCCACGUGAAGGUAUUAUGCAAAAAAAGCUUAACUUUGUUUCAGUGCCUUUCCAGUUAAAUGUUGUUAAGCAGUAUUUCCCCCAAAAGGUGCAUCUUUUAUAAAACAAGAACGCAAGGCUCUGAGGCCAACUUUGAACAUUUAUUUGAGUGAAUUCACGUCCCCCAAAUUUUCCGUAUCCCAAAAUCUGGACUUUUGCUAAAUGGUGCCCUUAGCACAGGAGUCUCUCCAAGGAAGUGGCCUGAGCUGAGAGGGGGCCUGGCAUCGCCCACCCAGGUCAUCAGUCAUCAUCAGCAGCAGCUGCGGCAUGAGAGAGAUGGUGUGGGGCGAAACCAAUGGGGAAACUACAAAAGAAACCACCUGCUACUGCAAACGGCCUCGCUGUACUCAGGGAGUCGGUUCCAGGACCCCAUGGACACCAAAUCCAGGCACACUCACGCCCCACAAGUGGACCUGCCGAACCUGCGUGUACAGAGUCGGCCCUCCGACACACGUUUCACAUGGCAGGAACACUGUAUUUUCUCCCUGAGUUUGGUUGAAAAAAUUCACAUAUAAGUUGACCCACAAAGCUCAAGCUUGUGUGGUACAAGAGUCAACUGUAUGCAAUUGACACUGAUUCCUACCAACGAUAUCCAAAUCUUAGCAUGAGCAGCACGAUAAACAGAAUGAGCAAAAUUCAAAAACUAAAGCAGCGUUUUUCCUGCAAGUGGGCGCACUGCGUAUCCCCUGCGGGAAAGACCACGCUGGCUGCUGACCAAACUCCACUGGCAUCUUCCUCCAUCCUGAGGGCAUCUUCCUCGGCAUCUUCCUCCAUCGACAGCAGCCUGGGCUCACCUCCCAGCCCGAGGCUGAGAACUGAGUUCCAGUCCCGGGGUGGGGUGGCGGGGGGGCGCACUGUGCACCCUCCCAGCUCUCCUCCACCCCUUCCCUCAGGCUGGCCCAAGAAUAGCCUGGACAAUCACCUGCUGGGGACACCGGGCUGCCCCUCCUCCGCCCACAGCCUCAGGCCACCUGUCUCAUCCGUGACCGAGAAACGGAGCUGCAGUGGGAGGCGGGACAUGCUGGGAUCUACCCAUGGCCAGGCCAAGCUGCGCCAAUCACUCAAGCUUCACUUUGAUCACUUGCUCUACCAAAUAAAACAGAACAAAAUAA